GGGGACUAGGAGACCGGGGAGGUAUUGAUUGGUGUCUGUCAGGAAUCCCACGCGUUUCAUCCUCUCAUCCCAGGAGAGAUAGGUUCCACUGGUUCUUCCAAGGGUCUUACAAGAAUCCUGAAGCUUCCUAGAAGCGAGCAUCAUCUGAUACCUGACCAAGUGCAAAUGCUCUUGCCUCCUGGAUCACGUUUCCAUAUGCAUAAAGGAAAGAGGAAACCAACGUUCAUGGAGAGAUAACCAUUCAAACAUUGGAAGAAGGUACAAACUCCAUAUAAAUGUUCUUCUUGGAUGGAUUCUGACCCGGGACCCCAGUACUGCAAAGCAGGAGUGCUAACAACCAAGCCACCAAGAGGUAUCUCACAUUUCCUAAAAAUAAUGAAAAAUGCCUAUUGAAAUCAUUAAGCAAACAUUGAUGUCUAUGAAUAUUUGUAAUUUUCCAAUGAAAAAUAAUCCUAUUUCUUUAGUUCAAUACAUUUUAUGAAUUAUAAAUGUAGCACGGAACAAAAAUAUGGCAGUGUGAAUGUUUCCUAAGGCACAUGUGAGCCUAUAAAUAGUUAUGGCUUUGAAAGCCACACCACCAAAACAUGAUGAAAACUCCAUCAAAAAUGUGAUAUUUAACAGUGCAUUUUUGGCCAUAAUACCAUUAAAGGGUAUUCCAGGAUCUUGUUUUAUUUGACUAUGCUACAGGGGCUGUAAAGUUAGUGUAGCUCAUAAUAUAGUGUCUGUACCUGUGUUUGAUGGUGGUCUCGCAAUUCUUAUGUAAUCUUUGCUCCAAUGUUUAUUUUUUAAAGUCUCAGGUUUUCCCAGGUUGCAGUGCUGGCUGAAACGUUACAUCACUGGUCAGAUGUUCAGAGGG
Molecule: long non-coding RNA, 856 nt
Organism: Hyla sarda
Lineage: Eukaryota; Metazoa; Chordata; Amphibia; Anura; Hylidae
Exons: 3
Source: RefSeq, a predicted model, not a curated record